This 252-nucleotide unclassified non-coding RNA is filed under the name uncultured fungus. RNAcentral describes it as "partial contains small subunit ribosomal RNA, internal transcribed spacer 1, and 5.8S ribosomal RNA". The stretch from base 1 to 73 matches the Rfam family "Eukaryotic small subunit ribosomal RNA", at positions 1759 to 1831 of the family's 1831-position model. The record is from RNAcentral. Lineage: Eukaryota; Fungi.
GCAAACUUGGUCAUUUAGAGGAAGUAAAAGUCGUAACAAGGUUUCCGUAGGUGAACCUGCGGAAGGAUCAUUACUGUGGGUUUAACUUAAUUAUGCCGGCUUUAUUCUUCUCUUAGGAGGGGUGUAAUUGUCAGCUUCAAACCAAAAAAAAACUAUCAUUAACAUUCUUGAUUGUUUUAUUCUGAAUUAUUAUAAAAUAAUACAACUUUCAACAACGGAUCUCUUGGCUCUUGCAUCGAUGAAGAACGCAGC